GAUGAACGCUGGCGGCGUGCCUAAUACAUGCAAGUCGAGCGAACAGAUGAGGAGCUUGCUCCUCUGACGUUAGCGGCGGACGGGUGAGUAACACGUGGAUAACCUACCUAUAAGACUGGGAUAACUUCGGGAAACCGGAGCUAAUACCGGAUAAUAUAUUGAACCGCAGGGUUCAAUAGUGAAAGACGGUUUUGCUGUCACUUAUAGAUGGAUCUGCGCCGCAUUAGCUAGUUGGUAAGGUAACGGCUUACCAAGGCAACGAUGCGUAGCCGACCUGAGAGGGUGAUCGGCCACCCUGGAGCUGGGACAGGGUCCAGACUCCUACGGGAGGCAGCAGUAGGGAAUCUUCCGCAAUGGGCGGAAGCCUGACGGAGCAACGCCGCGUGAGUUGUGAAGGUCUUCGGAUCGUAAAACUCUGUUAUUAGGGAAGAACAAAUGUGUAAGUAACUAUGCACGUCUUGACGGUACCUAAUCAGAAAGCCACGGCUAACUACGUG
This 497-nucleotide ribosomal RNA is filed under the name uncultured bacterium. RNAcentral's name for it is "partial 16S ribosomal RNA". It matches the Rfam family "Bacterial small subunit ribosomal RNA", at positions 28 to 507 of the family's 1533-position model. The record is from RNAcentral.